This 334-nucleotide long non-coding RNA is filed under the name Vitis vinifera (wine grape). RNAcentral describes it as "long non-coding RNA (VVIN_LNC002676)". Lineage: Eukaryota; Viridiplantae; Streptophyta; Magnoliopsida; Vitales; Vitaceae. The record is from RNAcentral.
UUAUAUGAACAAAAACACACACAACUGUACAGGGAAGGGAUGAGAUUGACUGUGGGGAAUGCCGUCUAAAUCAUGGCCACGGUUUUCUCUUUCACCUCAGAGUCAUGAAAACCCUUCAGGCUUGUUGAGGGAAGAGGAAGUGAUAGAGGGAGAGGCAGAGGAAGAGGAAGCUCUUCAUUUGAAAAGGCCGCAGCCGAUGUUGCUUCUACUGCUAUCUCUUCCUGUGCGGGCGUAGGCACUGGUUUCGGCGAGUAGUUAAAGGAGAAAUCUUUGUUAGCAGACAGCGCCAGCAGCUCCUUCUCCUCCAGCCCCUUUGUCGGUUCAAGACUGCAUC